CCUGGUGGCUCAGAUGGUAAAGAAUCUGCCUGCAAUGCAGGAGACCUAGGUUUGAUUCCUAGGUCAGGA
This 69-nucleotide transfer RNA is filed under the name Bos taurus (domestic cattle). It matches the Rfam family "tRNA". Rfam says of the family: Transfer RNA (tRNA) molecules are approximately 80 nucleotides in length. Their secondary structure includes four short double-helical elements and three loops (D, anti-codon, and T loops). The record is from Rfam by way of RNAcentral. Lineage: Eukaryota; Metazoa; Chordata; Mammalia; Artiodactyla; Bovidae. RNAcentral also lists the same sequence under 4 other names.